UUUUUUUUUCCACAGCAACUGCAGUUUAAAAGUUACAGCACCUCAAUCACAAACGCACCCUAAACAUUCAUUUCUUUAUCUUUGUCGGUCCUCUUCAUCUCUCUUUCAUUGUCUUUUCCUCUUUCCCUACUCCAACUUUUUUUUAAAAAAAAAAGCUUUUUAUUAAAUUAGCUCUAGAAUUUUCUAAAACACAUAAAUUAAGUUCUUUCAAAUUUGAAUUUUGAUUCAUUCAAGUUCUUGAUUAAAUUUUGACCAUUUUUAAGUUGAUGAAAAAUGAAAACAUUAACAUGAACAUAAGAAGACAAUUGCGCCUAUGUAUUUCGCAUCAAUGGUUUAAAGUCCACUUUAUCAUUGUUAUUAUUUCUUUUUAUUUAGUAUGCUAAAAAUUGGAAACAAAACUUGGAGCUUUUCACAUUAUUCAUCACAUUUGAUCUCCCCCACAAUACUUAAUCAUUUCAACACUUUCAAUAGUCCCUUCAUUUCUUUUUCUUUUUUUUUGGCACUCUUACCAUAACAUUUUUUUACAUUAUUAUAUAAUCUUUGCAUUUUCUAGCUCUUUUAAAUACUGUUAAAAAAUUAAAAUUUUCAAAAAUUAAAUUUCAAUGAUCGGGUUAUAAUUGCAUGGGACCAAGAUCUGGUGCGGAGCUGAGUUUGUGCUUAUUAUUGGAUCAACAGUCUGAAGUUAUCCAACAUGGGUCCCACACGGGACUCAGGACUAUCAUGAUUGUUAAUAAGAUGAUCAGCACAAACCUAUCUCAACAGCAAAUCCAUUUACAAUAAAUAAUAAAAUUUUACGAGAAUGUUAAGUUAAUAAUGGAUUUUACAUAUCAAAAUUUUUCUUUUCCAUAUUUGAUAAAAACAAGUAACUUCACAGUUCAAAAAUAAAUUAAUUAUAAUAUUACUAUUUGAAAGAGGAAAUUAACCUUACUUGUUAGAAAUUUUUAGGAUGAUUUUAAAAGUUUGUGGCAUUAUAUUACAAAUUCUAGAAACUUUUAAAGAAAAUAUAUAGGAGUUAAAUUUCACUCCUAUUCGUUCAUGAACACAUAUGUUCAAUUUAUACAAGUGUUUAAAAUAAAGAUGACAAAGGACCAGUUUGGGAAUGCUAUAACUUUUAAAAUAAUUGUUGUUAGCUGUGC
Molecule: long non-coding RNA, 1136 nt
Filed under: Citrus sinensis (sweet orange)
Lineage: Eukaryota; Viridiplantae; Streptophyta; Magnoliopsida; Sapindales; Rutaceae
Description: long non-coding RNA (CSIN_LNC005658)
Source: RNAcentral